Molecule: ribosomal RNA, 475 nt
Filed under: uncultured bacterium
Lineage: Bacteria
Description: bacterial SSU rRNA
Rfam family: Bacterial small subunit ribosomal RNA
Source: RNAcentral
UAGCGGGAGGCCUAACACAUGCAAGCCGAGCGGUGUUGUUUCUUUACCGGGAAAUGAGAGAGCGGCGUACGGGUGCGGAACACGUGUGCAACCUGCCUUUAUCUGGGGGAUAGCCUUUCGAAAAGGAAGAUUAAUACUCCAUAAUAUAUUGAUUGGCAUCAAUUAAUAUUGAAAGCUCCGGCGAAUAGAGAUGGGCACGCGCAAGAUUAGCUAGUUGGUGAGGUAACGGCUCACCAAGGCGAUGAUCUUUAGGGGGCCUGAGAGGGUGAUCCCCCACACUGGUACUGAGACACGGACCAGACUCCUACGGGAGGCAGCAGUGAGGAAUAUUGGUCAAUGGGUGCGAGCCUGAACCAGCCAUCCCGCGUGAAGGACGACUGCCCUAUGGGUUGUAAACUUCUUUUGUAUAGGGAUAAACCUACCCUCGUGAGGGUAGCUGAAGGUACUAUACGAAUAAGCACCGGCUAACUCCGUG